ACACAAAGAACCCGGGCUCGCCGAGCGCGCGCGCACACCCUCAUGCCGCGCGGCGAACGUUCGUUGCCAGGUGCGGCAGCCCGCCCUGGGCGCCUCCUGCCUGCGGAAGAAGAGCAGGACAGACCCGACCCGACCCGCCUAGUCCUUUCCUUCACAGCAGCCUCCAAACUCCACCGCUCGCCUCUUCCGCCAGGCUCCUAGGAUGAGGCCCAGGGCUCCUGGAGCAGCCAGGUGCAAACCAGACCGGGCUCGCACUCCACUGCGUUGCCCUGGGCGAUCGUCCACGUUCUGGGAGACUCGGUAUGCCCCGGGAGGGUGGCCUGAGCUUGUGGUGUGAAGCCAGGUACAGAGCUCCAGAAUCCUGGCCUUGCCAUGGCUGUGUGACCCUGGGCAAGUGACUCAAUUUCUCUGCCUCAGUGUCCUCAUCUAUAAAAUGGAAAGGAAAAUAGUAGCGCUUGUCUCCUCCGGCUGUUAUGAAGAUCCAAGGUUAACAGCGUAGAGAACUCGGAACGCACCCGGCAUCUAGGAAGUGCCAAGCCAGUGUCAGCUAAUGUGACUAUUUUUAAAUGGAGAUGGGGAGUGUGCCAUUAUUCUUGUCCUUAUUUGAAUGAACGGGCCCUCAGGGACCAUUUUCCACUGCCCCGCCCUGGCAGCAUGAGAGGGAAACGCUGUGAGAACCCCGAACCCCAGCCUUCUCCUGUCCCUCUCUCUCUCUCUCUCUCUCUGCACCUGGGAGGCGGGGAGGAGAGAGCCGAUCCUUCCACCAUUUACACGGAGAAUGAAAGAAGAAAUACCGGCCAGGCGCGGUGGCUCAUGCCUGUAAUCCCAGCACUUUGGGAGGCCGAGGGGGCAGAUCACCUGAGGUCAGGAGUUCGAGACCAGCCUGGCCAACAUGGCGAAACUCCGUCUCUACUAAAAGUACAAAAAUUAGCCUGGCGUGGUGCCGGGUGCCUAUAAUCCCAGCUACUCAGGAGGCUGAGGCAGGAGAAUCCCUUGAACCCGGGAGGCGGAGGUUGCAGUGAGCCGAGAUCACGCCACUGCACUCCAGCCUGGGUGACAAGAAUGAGUCUCAAAAAAACAAAAAAGAAGAAGAAGAAGAAAUACCACACAGGUCCGACCAAGAGCUGCCCCCACUCAGGCCAGGAUCCCUGCCUGGAAGGGCUCUGCAGCCACUCUCCCUGUACAGCCCCAGGAUGCUAAGGAGCAUCCCGAAGUGACACUGGCUCUCCCUGGAGGCCCCUGCCAUCGGACUCCAACCUGACCUUCCAGUGGGUGCUCCUCAUACUGGCUCCAGCCAAGACAGACGAGGACCACUGGGCACAUGCCCUUCCUUGCCUUCCUGUCACCCUUCCCACCCUUCUCUGCGGGCCCCGGGUGGCCCCUUCCUCCAGGAAGCACCUGGGGAUCAGCAGUGCCUCUAGGGUCCCAGUGGCCCACGUGACAUCUGCUUCUGGCCACCUGAGCACUCUCCUUUGAGUUCAGGGUCACUGUACCCUUUUAUAGGUGAGCAAACGAAAGCUGAGGAAGAGGAGUGACUGGGUCUCCCACAUCCCUCUGCUUCAGCUAUGAGGUUCCCUCAUGAACUGCAGGAAUAGACGUCAAGCAAAAACUCCUCAGACGCCCUGUGCAUGUGUGGUCGCACAGGGCACAAAGACUGAAGCAAAGGGGCAGGUCCUAGCGUGGGGAGGGGACUCCAGGAUUGAAGUUUGAACCAAAAGGAGGCUUUGACUAAGCCACGAGCAGUGAAGCCGGCAGGAGAGGAAGCAAGUUCUAGCAGAGAAAUUCGCCGGGUAUGGUGGUGCAUGCCUAUGGUCCCAGCUACUCAGGAGGCUGAGGCAGGAGGAUCACUUGAGCCCGGGAGGUGAAGGCUGCGGUAAGCUAUGACUACACCACUGCACUCCAGCCUAGGUGCGAGAGCAAGACCCUGUCUCCAAACAACAACAACAACAACAAAAUCUGAAUGCCUGGUUUAUCUUGAAAUAUGGCAAAAUGGGGCCACCCAGGCCCAUUAACCCCCUGUCUACAAUGUCCUGGAGCUGAGGGGCAUUAGCCACCCUCUCACAUGGGCUCCCCAGGGUGCCACAGCUCCCUCCUAGCUAGUUUGCUCUUUUCUGUCACCUACCGGCCCUUGCAGGGAGCUGAAUUUGAGACCCAUGAUGCACUUUGUGCACCCUGCCCCCUCAAAGAUAACUGUGAGUACCAAGGGAAAUGGAAAGCUUUGGCAACAAGAAGGGAGCUUCAAGGAAAGCCAGGCCGAGGUUCCCCUCAGAACCAUAGACUAGCCUGAAAUUCCACUGGGACUAAUUCUUCUCAUUUCAAGAAUGAAAAUCGAUUGCUGGACAGAGCUCCCGGAGGGCCAAUUUUCAGGCUGUAGUCUACAGCCGUCCACGUAGAGGCAGUGAACGAAAUUUUUCAAAGCCUACUUUAUGAUUACUUUCUUUAGCAGCUCUCAACAGUAAAAUAAAAUUGAUCUAGGACUUUGAACAAAACUUCUCGCCCCUUUCUAGGGAAGAGUUUGUCUCGUCUAUCAGGCCACCAACAAGAGUUGUUGCAAUGCCUGUGGGAGGUGCAGCCCACGCUGGGCCACCUGGCCAGCUCAGGGAUCCUGCUGGAGAUCGAGGAUUGUCUGGUCGGCCUCUUACAACUCUCAGAACAUCAUCCCUGGGAGCAGCCCUGAAGAGACCAAGGAAUGGAAAAACAGAUGGAAGGACUGCAACUCACAGGUGAAAAGGAACCGGCUACGAGAGGCUCCAAACCAAGGGAGCAGCGGAGUUUGUCUCCAAAACACCGAGCCCAGUGAGAGAAGCCAGAGCCACAGACCAGAUGCCCUGCAUGCGGGAUGGGAAGGGGCUCCAUCCUUACCUGGGGCAGGUCACUCCAGUGUGUGCUGUCGCGUUUCACUGUAGGAAGUGUAGACCUCAGUAAAAAUCCCAAGGAAAACCCCCAGACCCACUCAGGCUUCCUUCCUGCUUUGAACCACCUCAUGGCCCCCACCACACUGCCACUAAGCCACACUCCUGGCAGCCUCUGAGAUACCCCCUACCUGACCCUCCGCCACUCUCCUCCUCUGCCUCCCUCACUCCCAGCCUCUCUGGCCCCCUGGCUUUCCCUCCAACUCCAGGCUCCCCUCUCUCUGCCUCAGGGCCUUUGCCCCUGUCUUGCUCCCUGCCCCAGGCUCUUCCCCUCAGCCCUUCCCAGGUCUGGCUCCUUCUCCCUAGGCCUCAGCUCCAGUGUCUCAUCCCCAGAGACCUUCCCAGACCACCAUGUCUCAGACAGCCCCGGCUGCCUCCUGCCUGCCCUGCACCAGCCCUGAGCCAUCGCCUCAUUUUAUUCUCAUUCUAACUUGGAUAAUGGUUGCUCAAUCAAGAAGAAGCUGCCAGGCACAGUGGCUUGUGCCUGUAACCCCAGAACUUUGAGAGGCUGAGCGGGGUGGAUCACCCAAAGUCAGGAGUUCAAGACCAGCCUGGCCAACAUGGUGAAAUGCCGUCUCUACUAAAAAUACAAAAAUUCGCUGGGUGUGGUGGUGGGUGCUUGUAAUCCUAGCUACUCAGGAGGCUGAGACAGGAGAAUCCCUUGAACCCAGAGGCAGAGGUUACAGUGAGCCGAGAUCGUGCCACUGCCCUCCAGCCUGGGCAACAAAGAGUGAAACUCUUGUCUAAAAAAAAAAAGAAGAAGAAGAAGGAGAAGGAGAAGGAGCGGGAGAAGGAGAAGAAGAAGAAGAAGAAGAAGCCUCAGUGAAGUGCUCCAGCAUCUUCACCCCCUUGGUCACUUGCUCAUCUCCUUGAUGAACAAAAGCGGCCCCAGAUCAGAGCCAUCGAGCACCUGCAGCCAGCAAGGUUGGCUGGUUUUCAUUGUGUGCAUUUUUAAGGCGUCUUCUAUUUAUAGAAAGGAUUGUGGUCUUGCAUUUGUAGCAGCGAUGAAAGCUUUACUUUUUGGCAAAAUGUGUGCAAGUUGUUUAGAAGUGAGUCUGUUUGAAAAAAAAAAUUAAAUGAAUAAUGAUUUAGGAGGUGAGUUUGUUUCCUAGGGCUGCUGUGAUGAAGUGCCA
RNAcentral lists this long non-coding RNA (4045 nucleotides) under Homo sapiens (human). RNAcentral's name for it is "non-protein coding lnc-GRIP2-1:7". The record is from RNAcentral. Lineage: Eukaryota; Metazoa; Chordata; Mammalia; Primates; Hominidae.